This 322-nucleotide ribosomal RNA is filed under the name uncultured Trinematidae. RNAcentral describes it as "SSU rRNA". The stretch from base 56 to 322 matches the Rfam family "Eukaryotic small subunit ribosomal RNA", at positions 688 to 955 of the family's 1831-position model. RNAcentral also lists the same sequence under 1 other name. Lineage: Eukaryota; Cercozoa; Imbricatea; Euglyphida; Trinematidae. The record is from RNAcentral.
GAUUUCUGGACUGAAGCAUUUAGCCGGCCGCGGUUUCGCGUGUUAGUGCUGGAUGCUCUGUCCAUCCUUCCAAUCGCUAUUGGCUAUUCUUCAUUGAAUGGUCCGUAGUAUUGGAUCUUUUACUUUGAAAAAAUUAGAGUGUUUCAAGCAGGCUUUAUGCUAUGAAUACAUUAGCAUGGAAUAAUAAUUUAGGACUUCGGUUCUAUUUUGUUGGUUUCUAGGACUGAAGUAAUGAUUGAUAGGGAUAGUUGGGGGUGCUAGUAUUCAGCGGCCAGAGGUGAAAUUCUUGGAUUCGCUGAAGACUAACUUAUGCGAAAGCAUU